RNAcentral lists this ribosomal RNA (468 nucleotides) under uncultured bacterium. RNAcentral's name for it is "partial 16S ribosomal RNA". It matches the Rfam family "Bacterial small subunit ribosomal RNA", at positions 28 to 507 of the family's 1533-position model. The record is from RNAcentral.
GAUGAACGCUGGCGGCGUGCUUAACACAUGCAAGUCGAACGGAAAGGCCCAAGCUUGCUUGGGUACUCGAGUGGCGAACGGGUGAGUAACACGUGGGUGAUCUGCCCUGCACUUCGGGAUAAGCCUGGGAAACUGGGUCUAAUACCGGAUAGGACGAUGGUUUGGAUGCCAUUGUGGAAAGUUUUUUCGGUGUGGGAUGAGCUCGCGGCCUAUCAGCUUGUUGGUGGGGUAAUGGCCUACCAAGGCGUCGACGGGUAGCCGGCCUGAGAGGGUGUACGGCCACAUUGGGACUGGGAUACGGCCCAGACUCCUACGGGGGGCAGCAGUGGGGAAUAUUGCACAAUGGGCGCAAGCCUGAUGCAGCGACGCCGCGUGGGGGAUGACGGCCUUCGGGUUGUAAACUCCUUUCGCUAGGGACGAAGCGUUUUUGUGACGGUACCUGGAGAAGAAGCACCGGCUAACUACGUG